UAAUACUAGCGGUCCAAGUCGCAGCCAUUAUUAUUGGGUCUAAAACAUCCGUAGCUUGCUUGAUAAGUUUCUUGUGAAAUCUUAUAUCUUAAGUAUAAGGCGAGCAGGAAGUACUAUUGAGCUAGAGACUGGAAGACGUGAGGAGUACGAUUAAGGUAGUGGUAAAAUAUUUUAAUCUUAAUUGGACUAACAAGAGCGAAGGCGCCUCACGAGGACGGUUCUGACAGUAAGGGAUGAAGGCUAGGGGCGCAAAACGGAUUAGAUACCCGUGUAGUCCUAGCAGUAAACACUGCGCACUAAACAUUAGUACCUCCUCGAGAGGUAUUGGUGCUGAAGGGAAGCCGAAGAGUGCGCUACCUGGGGAGUAUAGCCGCAAGGCCG
This 381-nucleotide ribosomal RNA is filed under the name uncultured archaeon. Its description in RNAcentral is "bacterial SSU rRNA". It matches the Rfam family "Archaeal small subunit ribosomal RNA", at positions 471 to 851 of the family's 1478-position model. The record is from RNAcentral.